Etheostoma cragini (Arkansas darter) is the source of this 210-nucleotide long non-coding RNA. RefSeq lists it as uncharacterized. NCBI's taxonomy places the organism in Eukaryota, Metazoa, Chordata, Actinopteri, Perciformes, Percidae. The record is from RefSeq and is a predicted model, not a curated record. The transcript is spliced from 4 exons.
UAAAGCAAAUUCCCUUCUGUGCAGCAUUAACAUGGAGUGCUGUGCUGAUACUUCAGCACACUACGACUGAGUUCCAAUACCCUUUCUGCCAUACUAUUUAGUAUGCCAGACAUAUAUUUAGUAUGUCCAAAUACAGUGGAUAUGUCAAAUGCAGUUUGCCAAAAAUAAUAGGAUGUCCUACUGCAUCUGGUCAGAUGUUGCAGAAGACAA